GGGCGCGUAGAUCAGCGGAAGAUCGCCUGAUUUGCAAUCAGGAGGUCUCGGGUUCAAAUCCCGACGCGUCCA
This 72-nucleotide transfer RNA is filed under the name Thermoplasmata archaeon. RNAcentral describes it as "tRNA-Ala". It matches the Rfam family "tRNA". Rfam says of the family: Transfer RNA (tRNA) molecules are approximately 80 nucleotides in length. Their secondary structure includes four short double-helical elements and three loops (D, anti-codon, and T loops). Further hydrogen bonds mediate the characteristic L-shaped molecular structure. tRNAs have two regions of fundamental functional importance: the anti-codon, which is responsible for specific mRNA codon recognition, and the 3' end, to which the tRNAs corresponding amino acid is attached (by aminoacyl-tRNA synthetases). tRNAs cope with the degeneracy of the genetic code in two manners: having more than one tRNA (with a specific anti-codon) for a particular amino acid; and 'wobble' base-pairing, i.e. permitting non-standard base-pairing at the 3rd anti-codon position. RNAcentral also lists the same sequence under 1 other name. The record is from RNAcentral. Lineage: Archaea; Methanobacteriati; Thermoplasmatota; Thermoplasmata.